Molecule: ribosomal RNA, 708 nt
Filed under: Phyllactinia adesmiae
Lineage: Eukaryota; Fungi; Ascomycota; Leotiomycetes; Helotiales; Erysiphaceae
Description: eukaryotic LSU rRNA
Rfam family: Eukaryotic large subunit ribosomal RNA
Source: RNAcentral
UUGACCUCGAAUCAGGUAGGGCAUACCCNNNNNNNCGGGGAAGGGAAAGCCGGGUAACCAGGCUCAAAUUUGAAAUCUGGCUCCCUACGGAGUCCGAGUUGUAAUUUGUAGAAGAUGCUUUGGGUGCGUGGCCCGGCCUAAGUUCCUUGGAACAGGACGUCGUAGAGGGUGAGAAUCCCGUAUGCGGCCGGGGCGCCUGCCCGUGUAAAGCUCUUUCGACGAGUCGAGUUGUUUGGGAAUGCAGCUCAAAAUGGGUGGUAAAUUUCAUCUAAAGCUAAAUAUGGGCCAGAGACCGAUAGCGCACAAGUAGAGUGAUCGAAAGAUGAAAAGCACUUUGGAAAGAGAGUUAAACAGUACGUGAAAUUGUUGAAAGGGAAGCGCUUGCAACCAAACUUGGGCGUCGCUGAUCAUCCAAAGUUCUCUUUGGUGCACUCGGCGAGGCACAGGCCAGCAUCGGUUGGGGUGGUGGGAGAAAGGUCGUGGGAACGUGGCUCCCUUCGGGGGGUGUUAUAGCCUGCGACGCAAUACCGCCAACUCCGACCGAGGACCGCGCUUCGGCUAGGAUGCUGGCGUAAUGGUGUAAGCGACCCGUCUGAAACACGGACCAAGGAGUCUAACAUCUAUGCGAGUGUUUGGGUGCAAAACCCAUACGCGCAAGAAAGGAACACAGGGAGAACCCUUGAGGGGGCAUCAUGACGAUCCGUGUCU